This 1718-nucleotide small RNA is filed under the name Rattus norvegicus (Norway rat). Its description in RNAcentral is "uncharacterized LOC102547042". Lineage: Eukaryota; Metazoa; Chordata; Mammalia; Rodentia; Muridae. The record is from RNAcentral.
UAAUGUUUUGGUUCUUGGUCACCACAACAUGAGGAAUGUAUUGAAGGGUCUCAGCAUUUGGAAGGCUGAGAACCACUAGUAGAGAAAGGACAGUUAGACCAGUUCCAGGAGCCAGACAAGAGGGGAGGGGAAGAGAGGAUAGUGACUUUUAGGCAACAGAAACUGCUAAGUGGGGUGCAAACAGAGUAGCACAAAGGCUCCUCGGGCUAGAAGCACAGCAGGAUCCCGAAUAGGAGGGGCCAUCCUAGAGGCCAUUUUCUUAUAGCUGAGAAGUGGGAAAAGAGGGGAUGUGCCUGCUGGUCCCUCCUGCCUAACAGGAGUUAAAUUCAUCGGGAGUAAACUGGAAAUUAGAAAGAUUUAACAAAACUAACUGAUGGUCUUUUGUAGAAGGAUACCGUUGUGGGGGCUGAGGAUGUAGCUCUAGUGUGAGGUUUGGUCUGCUGCUAUGUAUUGUAAUGCUGAACACUGGCCCCCACCAAGCUCAGUUGCCUCAAGGAUCAGAGAAUCUUCCUGCUGACUCAGGUGACACUGUGUGACCUGCCCCCCAAGUUAUCCCUGAUUGGUACCCUGGCUGUAUCAGAGCAGAGUAAGCAGAAGAUGGAGAACUCGGCUCCUCCAGCACCACGCCUGCCUAGAUGCUGCCUGGAUGCUGCCUGGAUGCUGCCCUGCUCCCGCCUUGAUGAUAAUGGACUGACCCUCUGAACCUGGCAGGUGUGAAACCCAGUCUGUGAACAACCCUUGAGGUCCUCAUCUUGGCUUUGCUGGCAUCCAGCUCUUGCAGCUGCUCAUCCAGUUCCAUGAACAUCUCACGCUCCAGAUCCUCCCGACCUAACUAAGCGCUCUGCCCCCUCUCCAGAUGAGUCAUCUUCAAAGACUGUGAUCCAUAUUGGCUGUUCCUGAAAAACUCUUUGGCUGAGUGCUUUCCACAUAGCUCAGGUUGGUCUCAAAGUCAUGGCUAUCCUCCUGCCUCAGAUCCUCCAGUGACUGGAUUACAGGCAUGUGCCACAUGGCACAACUUGGCCUGUUGUUUUGUUUUGUUUUGUUUUUGGUACUGGGGAUUGAACCCAGACCUUUUUUGCACAUGCUAGCCAAGCAAUCUAUUCUUUUCUUUUUUAUGGAUGUGUGUGGUUACCUACGUAAGGAUGUGUGUGCAGGAGCGACAGAGGUCAGAAGAGAGCACCACAUCCCCUGGAACUGGAGUUACAGGCAGAUGCAAGCUGCCAUCUUGGUGCUGGAAAUAAAUAUGCAACUUCUAUAAGAGCAGUACGUACUCUUAAUGGCUGAGCUCUCUUGAGUCCCCUGCUUGGAUUUUUUAAAAACUAAUUUUAUUAGAGAAUACAUUACUUCCUUUCAGACCUAUGAGGAUAUGCCUUUUGCAAAGCAUUUCCUUUAUCCCUCUCCAGAAGAGAAAAGGAAACAGAAGUGGGGGCUGAUACAGAACUCCAACUCCUAUUAAUGGAUGCAAAGUACCCAGGAUGUCAUAAAAUGAGCCCAGUCUUCGGCCAUAAACAAAAGGCAGUCUUGUGUGUUGGCUGCUGCAUUGCCCUGUCAGCCUACAGAAGGAAAAGGAAGGCUGGCCGUUCCGCAGGACACAGCACUAAAAGCACCCUGGUUCAAGAUGAGUGGGAAGCCAUCCCAGUAAACACAUCAUGAAUUUAAAACAAAACAGCAUUACUUCAAAUGAGAUAAUUUUUAAAUAUAUAUUUUGAUGAAUUUGA